Molecule: long non-coding RNA, 2696 nt
Organism: Calidris pygmaea (Spoon-billed sandpiper)
Lineage: Eukaryota; Metazoa; Chordata; Aves; Charadriiformes; Scolopacidae
Source: Ensembl
GUGAGCUCACCCCAACGGUUGAUCUGCAGCUGCCUGUGGUGAUGCUGGUGUGAAUCCGGCUUCAAACUUUGAGGAGAAGAGGAAUUAAACGCUUGGCGAACUGUUAACACGGUGGUGCGCUCUGUAGGGAAGGGAAAGUACGAGCUGCUUUUUAUGCUGUUUGGUUUUUUUUUUUUUUUUUUUAAAUUCAGAAUUAGUCCCAGCUCGCUCUUAAAAUGGUACACUGGUUUAAUUCACCUGAAUAAACAGUUGGAACAAACAGUUGUUAGCGCUGCAGCCCUGGGCUGGGAAAGGGGCUUGGAAGCUGCCAGGGCUCCCAGCAGAAGGUGAGGAGAUGCCCCCCAGGCCCAUGAGCAGGGACAGAAUCCAACCCAUGGAAACAGACCGAGGUGAGCUUGUAUCAACCACAAACGAGGGUAGGAAAUUUUAUUUAAUGUCAUUUCAGGCCCCCUUUUACACGGGUAAGGGAGUAAACAGGGCUAUCUGGGCAGUGACCGGGCCCUGUCCCUUACACGGUGACACAGGCAGGGCCCUGUCCUUGGAAGCGCAGAGAGGGCAUGGAAGGGGGAUUGAUUUGAUGGAGGCUGAGCCCCGGGUGGAUGACCCUGCACCAGGCACAGCUGUGCUGCUUUGAAGCAAACAACCCUGACCUGAAGAGAGGGGGCAAAGGCAGGGCCCUGUGCUGGGCGGGCAGCUGGGGCUCGUACAGAUGAGAUGAGGUGGUGGGGGGGAAAAACCCCAGGUGUAUGGUGCUGCUUCCCCUCCAGCACCCCCCCUGUUUCACGCUGCCCGGUCAUCUCUGCCGCCACUCGGCCCCCUCUCGCCGAGGAGCCCCCGGUCUCCGCCAAGCAGCCGGUCCCCGCUGCAGGGCCCUCACGACGCCGCCAUGCUGGUCCCUCAGCGGGCCGGCGCCUUAUAUAGGGCACGGCCCGUGGUGGGCGGGGCUCCGCCUGCCGCUCAUCCCGCCUCGCCCCUCGGAUUGGUCCUUUUCCACCGCGAGCGCGCGCGGCGGCCGUUGGCGGCCGGUGGGGCCGGGGGCGGCGCGAGCGAGAGGCGGGAAGAAGGAGCGGCGCGUGCCCCGGCGCCUGAGGGAGCGCGCGGCCCGGCCCGGUUCUCCCCGUUCUCCCCCCUCUCCCCCCCGCUCCGCCGGCGGCCCCCCUUGGCCCCCGCUCAGCCCCGGGAGCCCGCCCGGUGCCGGGGAUGAAGCGCAGACGAGGAGAGAGCGCGGCCCGGCCGGCUGGAGCCUGCGAUGUGUGGCUGGACACGGCCGAGCUGAAGGCUCUCGUAGCCAAGUCAAAAGCAUCUCGUCGAGUUCUGGAAAGGAAACAGGCCUCGGUCACUUUCACACAGACAAGAUCCUCUCAGCCACGCGCCAAGCAAACCACCAUCUCCGCCUUCUUCAGCUCCCAGACAGGUACCACCGACCAGCCUGCGCCCCUGCAGGAAACUAGUUUCAGGCUGUAAUAGGAAAUCACCUCGCUUUGGUCCUUGUCAGCUUUACUAGGCAGAAAAAUACCUUUUCUAGUGAUGAGGGUGAAGGUUAAAGGCUUAAAUUCCCAGAAAUAAUUUUAUUGUGAUGGUUAAUCUAAAUGCGGGCACCUUUUAGUGUUAGGCCAAAGUGUGAGUGACAACGGUCACAGCCAGCCUUCACUGCAGAGCAAUCUGAGCUCUAAAUAACACACAGGGCUUUACUCCCUGCAGAACUGGAGUUUUCAGAGGGAUUUUGGGAAGCCUGACCCAGCCCAAGCGCUGAUAGAAACCGUCCAGGUGGCAAAACACCCAGUUCUGGGUCACGCGAUGGCAUCCCAUAAAGGACAAUCCAGUCGGGAAUGCCGCUGGGGCCGGGGCAGGGUGGGUCUGGGCAGGAGCAGGGCGUUCCCUGCCAGGUUUGUUCCAAACGAUAACAGCUCUAAGUUGUUGGUUAAACGCCCUUUGGAAUUAUUAUUGGAAGUGAAAAUUAAUGUUACUUGAUUUGAACAACCCCCCUGGAAGGGGAGUCAGCGGGAGGUGUGUGGGGAAAGCUUUUUGUGACGGGUUGGACAAAGGCUUUUCUGCGGAAUGCAGUGUUUAAUCCAAACUGAACCGAUGAAGGAAUCACAAGGGAACUGGAAUAUUUCAGCUAAUUAAGGCAGCUCACCACCUCUGCGCCUGUGAGGCUGCUUUUGUGCUCUGGAAUACAGGAAACUGGAAUUUGUCUGUGGGUCUCAAAUUAAUGAAUAUGAAGAGAAAUUAAAUGAACGUGGGAACCAGGAGUGUGGGGUUGUGUAGCUGUUUGUGUAUUGUGAGUUGUGUAACGGCUAAUUCAUCAACAUUAACCUAGUUCAGCAAUCAGCAGAUGAGAGGAAGCAUCGCAUAAAUUGUACAAUCUAAUUAUUUGACAAUUUUUGUGUUGCGACAGGGCCAUUGGCGGUUUUUUCUUUGGAUUUGUUAUUGCUACUCCUUUUGAAUGUGUUGUGUGCUUUCUCCUUUUUCGUUUGAUUCCCUUGAUUGAUUGCACUCGCUUGGUCGCUGUGUGUGUUUGGAUUCACUGAACGCUGCUGUUUGUCACAGGUCUGGGGGAUUUAAGAUGCUGGAGUAUUUCUUAUUGGUAUUUUUGUCCUUUUAGCAUAUCCUGAAUUGAGGAUGAGCUCUCUUAUUGAGAAGUUAUAUUAGGUUUUUAUAAUAAAUGGUAUCAGAAGCAAAUGAGGGGACGUGAU